UGAGGAAUAUUGGUCAAUGGACGAGAGUCUGAACCAGCCAAGUAGCGUGAAGGAUGACUGCCCUAUGGGUUGUAAACUUCCUUUAUAUGGGAAUAAAGUAUUCCACUUGUGGAAUUUUGUAUGUACAGUAUGAAUAAGGAUCGGCUAACUCCGUGCCAGCAGCCGCGGUAAUACGGAGGAUCCGAGCGGUAUCCGGAUUUAUUGGGUUUAAAGGGAGCGUAGGUGGAUUGUUAAGUCAGUUGUGAAAGUUUGCGGCUCAACCGUAUAAUUGCAGUUGAAACUGGCAGUCUUGAGUACAGUAGAGGUGGGCGGAAUUCGUGGUGUAGCGGUGAAAUGCUUAGAUAUCACGAAGAACUCCGAUUGCGAAGGCAGCUCACUAGACUGUUACUGACACUGAUGCUCGAAUGUGUGGGUAUCAAACAGG
Molecule: ribosomal RNA, 424 nt
Filed under: uncultured bacterium
Lineage: Bacteria
Description: bacterial SSU rRNA
Rfam family: Bacterial small subunit ribosomal RNA
Source: RNAcentral